GAUGAACGCUGGCGGCGUGCCUAAUACAUGCAAGUCGAGCGAACGGACGAGAAGCUUGCUUCUCUGAUGUUAGCGGCGGACGGGUGAGUAACACGUGGAUAACCUACCUAUAAGACUGGGAUAACUUCGGGAAACCGGAGCUAAUACCGGAUAAUAUUUUGAACCGCAUGGUUCAAAAGUGAAAGACGGUCUUGCUGUCACUUAUAGAUGGAUCCGCGCUGCAUUAGCUAGUUGGUAAGGUAACAGCUUACCAAGGCAACGAUGCAUAGCCGACCUGAGAGGGUGAUCGGCCACACUGGAACUGAGACACGGUCCAGACUCCUACGGGAGGCAGCAGUAGGGAAUCUUCCGCAAUGGGCGAAAGCCUGACGGAGCAACGCCGCGUGAGUGAUGAAGGUCUUCGGAUCGUAAAACUCUGUUAUUAGGGAAGAACAUAUGUGUGAGUAACUGUGCACGUCUUGACGGUACCUAAUCAGAAAGCCACGGCUAACUACGUG
This 497-nucleotide ribosomal RNA is filed under the name uncultured bacterium. RNAcentral's name for it is "partial 16S ribosomal RNA". It matches the Rfam family "Bacterial small subunit ribosomal RNA", at positions 28 to 507 of the family's 1533-position model. The record is from RNAcentral.